RNAcentral lists this ribosomal RNA (301 nucleotides) under uncultured bacterium. Its description in RNAcentral is "partial 16S ribosomal RNA". It matches the Rfam family "Bacterial small subunit ribosomal RNA", at positions 509 to 809 of the family's 1533-position model. The record is from RNAcentral.
CAGUAGCCGCGGUAAUACAGAGGGUGCGAGCGUUAAUCGGAUUUACUGGGCGUAAAGCGUGCGUAGGCGGUCUGUCAAGUCAGAUGUGAAAUCCCCGGGCUUAACCUGGGAACUGCAUUUGAAACUGGCAGGCUAGAGUCUUGUAGAGGGGGGUAGAAUUCCAGGUGUAGCGGUGAAAUGCGUAGAGAUCUGGAGGAAUACCGGUGGCGAAGGCGGCCCCCUGGACAAAGACUGACGCUCAGGUGCGAAAGCGUGGGGAGCAAACAGGAUUAGAUACCCCUGUAGUCCCUGUCUCUUAUAA